UACGGAGGGUGCAAGCGUUAUCCGGAUUCACUGGGUUUAAAGGGUGCGUAGGUGGGCAGGUAAGUCCGUGGUGAAAUCCCUGAGCUUAACUCGGGAACUGCCAUGGAUACUAUUUGUCUUGAAUAUUGUGGAGGUAAGCGGAAUAUGUCAUGUAGCGGUGAAAUGCUUAGAUAUGACAUAGAACACCAGUUGCGAAGGCAGCUUACUACACAGUUAUUGACACUGAGGCACGAAAGCGUGGGGAUCAAACAGG
This 253-nucleotide ribosomal RNA is filed under the name uncultured bacterium. Its description in RNAcentral is "partial 16S ribosomal RNA". It matches the Rfam family "Bacterial small subunit ribosomal RNA", at positions 524 to 776 of the family's 1533-position model. The record is from RNAcentral.